Macadamia integrifolia is the source of this 962-nucleotide long non-coding RNA. RefSeq lists it as uncharacterized. The transcript has 2 exons. Lineage: Eukaryota; Viridiplantae; Streptophyta; Magnoliopsida; Proteales; Proteaceae. The record is from RefSeq and is a predicted model, not a curated record.
CUUACUACUUUACUUUUCUAUUCCAUUUUGUUCCUUCUUUCUCCGUCUUCGAUUCACAGAGAAUUUCUUUGGCUGGCAUGUCGUUUUAUCUGAAGCGAUCUAGAGGUGGUUUCAAUAUCAAUUAAUCGAGAUGAUUUAGAGAAGCAGGUACGGUCUCGCGUAUCAUGUGAUUUUAGGCCAUUCCUGCAUUUAUUUCUCGAUUCCUAUUUUUGUUUUAGGAUGAAUUUCUUAUUCAUUCGAUCAACCAGAAGUUCAGAACAGAUAUGAAAAGAUUAAAAUCACAGAUUGUUCAUGGGAGGACUCGUGGAGCUUGGAGUUUCGAUCAUGGCGGUGGUUGAGAGUGCGGGGAUAGAUUUGGGGAUCAAUGUUAGUACCUCAAGUCACGCUUCUCUAACUUGCUCUUUUCGUUCUCUUGCUCUUUGUCCCAGAUUUUGCUCGUCUCGAGACUCUCUGUCCUGCAGUAACUAGUAUUUUCAGGUCCCUAUAGCUUUAUUCCUUCAAGAAAUAGUGAGUAGUUGAGGUUUUAGUAAUGGGUGCUUCUGGGAAGUGGUUCAAAUCCUUAAUAGGCCACAAAAAGCUCGACAAGGAUGACAAUGAAAAGGUCAGUAGGAAGAAAGGGAAAUGGAAGCUAUGGAAAAGCUCUUCUGCUGAUCUCGGAUCUUCAUGGAAGGGUUUUAAAGGUCGGCAGAAAGCUGCAUCAGACUUCGGAUUCUUCAUCUGUGGCUGAUGUGUAUUGUGCUGCAGUUGCUACUGUCGUUAGGGCUCCACCAAAAGGAUUUCAAAAUUGUGAGGCAAGAAUGGGCUGCAAUCCAGAUUGGCGUUACGUGGAUUUUCUGGUAGAUAUGUUUCAUUUGUUCCAACUAGGGGUCCUUUAGAUGGCUGAUCCUGGGAUUCCCCGAAUAUUUUCCAAAAUGUAAUUUUGGAUAGACUUGAGACUUGGAAGAUCAAACUUUACAUAGUAA